GGUUGACCUCGGAUGCAGGUAGGGAUACCCGCUGAACUUAAGCAUAUCAAAAAGCGGAGGAACGCUGAACUUAA
RNAcentral lists this ribosomal RNA (74 nucleotides) under Penicillium citrinum. RNAcentral's name for it is "partial 28S ribosomal RNA". Lineage: Eukaryota; Fungi; Ascomycota; Eurotiomycetes; Eurotiales; Aspergillaceae. The record is from RNAcentral.